Molecule: unclassified non-coding RNA, 312 nt
Filed under: Hevea brasiliensis (rubber tree)
Lineage: Eukaryota; Viridiplantae; Streptophyta; Magnoliopsida; Malpighiales; Euphorbiaceae
Source: RNAcentral
ACAAGUCAUUGGAGGCCGAAGAUAAUGAAAAAUUCCCCAAAAUGUUUCUACCACUCAAAGUAUCUUUACUGAAGUCCUUCAAAUUAAUGGAUAAAGAGUUGAAACUGCAUCCCAAAAUUGAUUGUUUUUGCAGUGGAUCGACGGCCGUGACUCUAAUAAAGCAGGGUCAGAACCUUGUACUUGGAAAUGUUGGUGACUCAAGAGCGGUGCUGGCUACGAUAGACGAAGAUAACUCUUUGAUUCCAGUUCAAUUAACGGUGGACUUGAAACCUGACCUUCCUGGUGAAGCUGCUAGGAUCCAGCAAUGCAAAG